Molecule: ribosomal RNA, 253 nt
Filed under: uncultured bacterium
Lineage: Bacteria
Description: partial 16S ribosomal RNA
Rfam family: Bacterial small subunit ribosomal RNA
Source: RNAcentral
UACGUAGGGGGCAAGCGUUGUCCGGAUUUAUUGGGCGUAAAGAGCGUGUAGGCGGUUUGGUAGGUCCGCUGUGAAAACUCGAGGCUCAACCUCGAGACGCCGGUGGAAACCAUCAGACUAAAGUCCGGAAGAGGAGAGUGGAAUUCCUGGUGUAGCGGUGAAAUGCGCAGAUAUCAGGAAGAACACCCGUGGCUAAGGCGGCUCUCUAGUACGGUACUGACGCUGAGACGCGAAAGCGUGGGGAGCGAACAGG